Molecule: ribosomal RNA, 643 nt
Filed under: uncultured actinomycete
Lineage: Bacteria; Bacillati; Actinomycetota; Actinomycetes; Actinomycetales
Description: bacterial SSU rRNA
Rfam family: Bacterial small subunit ribosomal RNA
Source: RNAcentral
CGCGGCCUAUCAGCUUGUUGGUGGAGUAGUGGCCUACCAAAGCGACGACGGGUAGCCGGCCUGAGAGGGCGACCGGCCACACUGGGACUGAGACACGGCCCAGACUCCUACGGGAGGCAGCAGUGGGGAAUAUUGCACAAUGGGCGCAAGCCUGAUGCAGCGACGCCGCGUGAGGGAUGAAGGCCUUCGGGUUGUAAACCUCUUUCAGCAGGGAAGAAGCGCAAGUGACGGUACCUGCAGAAGAAGCGCCGGCUAACUACGUGCCAGCAGCCGCGGUAAUACGUAGGGCGCAAGCGUUGUCCGGAAUUAUUGGGCGUAAAGAGCUCGUAGGCGGUUUGUCGCGUCUGCUGUGAAAACUCGAGGCUCAACCUCGGGCUUGCAGUGGGUACGGGCAGACUAGAGUGCGGUAGGGGUGACUGGAAUUCCUGGUGUAGCGGUGGAAUGCGCAGAUAUCAGGAGGAACACCGAUGGCGAAGGCAGGUCACUGGGCCGCAACUGACGCUGAGGAGCGAAAGCAUGGGGAGCGAACAGGAUUAGAUACCCUGGUAGUCCAUGCCGUAAACGUUGGGCACUAGGUGUGGGGCUCAUUCCACGAGUUCCGUGCCGCAGCAAACGCAUUAAGUGCCCCGCCUGGGGAGUACGG